GACGAACGCUGGCGGCGUGCUUAACACAUGCAAGUCGAACGGUGAAGCGCUUUCAUUUUUGGCGGGUGUGGAUGAGUGGCGAACGGGUGAGUAACACGUGAGUAACCUGCCCUCUCCUUCUGGAUAACCGCAUGAAAGUGUGGCUAAUACGGGAUAUUCUGGGUCUGUCGCAUGAUGGGAUCGUGAGAGAUAUUGCUUCGGUGGGGGCCGGGCUCGCGGAUUAUCUGCUUGUUGGUGGGGUGAUGGCCUACCAAGGCGCUGUCGAGUAGCUGGGCUGAGAGGGUGAGCGGCCAUAGAGGGGAGGCGCCACGGCGCAUACUCCUGCAGGAGGCAGUGGGGAGUAUUAGAGAACGGUGGGCACAAUGCUGCAGCAGCAACGCGGCGGUGGAGAAGGCGGCCGGGGUGUUAUGACCCUCUUUCGGCAGUGAAGCGGGCCUGCCUCGUAUGUGGCUGGGUUGACGGUAGCUGGAGAAGAAGCGCCGGCUAACUACGUG
RNAcentral lists this ribosomal RNA (494 nucleotides) under uncultured bacterium. RNAcentral describes it as "partial 16S ribosomal RNA". It matches the Rfam family "Bacterial small subunit ribosomal RNA", at positions 28 to 507 of the family's 1533-position model. The record is from RNAcentral.